GUGCCAGCAGCCGCGGUAAUACGUAGGUGGCAAGCGUUGUCCGGAUUUAUUGGGCGUAAAGCGAGCGCAGGCGGUUUGGUAAGUCUGAUGUGAAAGCUCCCGGCUCAACCGGGGAGGGUCGUUGGAAACUGGGAGACUUGAGUGCAGUAGAGGAGAGUGGAAUUCCAGGUGUAGCGGUGAAAUGCGUAGAUAUAUGGAGGAACACCAGUGGCGAAGGCGGCUCUCUGGUCUGUAACUGACGCUGAGGCGCGAAAGCGUGGGGAGCAAACAGGAUUAGAAACCCUCGUAGUCC
This 292-nucleotide ribosomal RNA is filed under the name uncultured prokaryote. Its description in RNAcentral is "partial 16S ribosomal RNA". It matches the Rfam family "Bacterial small subunit ribosomal RNA", at positions 505 to 796 of the family's 1533-position model. The record is from RNAcentral.